Non-coding RNA from Araneus ventricosus, 72 nucleotides. The record is from the annotation of a GenBank genome assembly. NCBI's taxonomy places the organism in Eukaryota, Metazoa, Arthropoda, Arachnida, Araneae, Araneidae.
GCCAACAUAGCUCAUUGGUUAUAGCCCUGUCUUGUAAACCAGGGGUCGUGAGUUCAAUCUUCACUGGUGGCU